RNAcentral lists this ribosomal RNA (348 nucleotides) under uncultured bacterium. RNAcentral describes it as "partial 16S ribosomal RNA". It matches the Rfam family "Bacterial small subunit ribosomal RNA", at positions 338 to 683 of the family's 1533-position model. The record is from RNAcentral.
CCUACUGGCGGCAGCAGUGAGGAAUCUUGGUCAAUGGGCGCGAGCCUGAACCAGCCAAGUAGCGUGAAGGAUGACUGUCCUCCGGGUUGUAAACUUCUUUUAUAAAGGAAUACAGUGAGGCUAGUGUGCGUUUUUGUCUUUACUUUAUGUAUACAGAUAGGCUAACUCCGUGCCAGCCGCGGCGGUACUACGGUGGAUCCGAGCGUUAUCCGGAUUUAUUGGGUUUAAAGGGAGCGUAGAUGGGUUGUUAUGUCAGUUGUGAAAGUUUGCGGCUCAACCGUAAAAGUGCAAUUGAUACUGGCAGUCUUGAGUACAGUUGAGGUAGGUGGAAUUCGUUGUGUAGCGGUG